AUAUGAUGCUGCAAUUUGCGAAAAGCACCUUUAUAGAAGCAAAGGGAUUUUUUUUUGCAUUUUGUAUUGCUACCUUUCUAUUUGUUUCUUUUCUUUAAUUUGAAGUCUAUGAGACUGUUGCAUUGGAGCCAGAAAUUAAGACGGAGUCUCGCUCGGUUGCCCAGGCUGGAGUGCGGUGGCACAAUCUCGGCUCACUGCAACCUCCGCCUCCCGGGUUCAAGCGAUCCUUCUGCUUCAGCCUCCCGAGUAGCUGGGACUACAGGUGCAUCUCAGAUGCCUUCCAGCAUGUGAAGGACACCAUUGCAUUGGCUCUCACCACCACCAUGCCCUCCUCCUUACCCAGGGUGAAGCAUGAAUCUGCACAUGGGGAGGCUUCAGAGGACAACUGAGACAAGAAGCAGGAAGCUGAGAAAGGAGGACACCUCCCACACACACAUCUAGCAAAAGCUGGACAUUUCUGGUCAGUCAUCCUUAUGCAAAGACUUUCUGGAAGGAGCAGUUAUUCUUGGGUGAGCACUUAUGUAGCAUGAAAGAGGUUAACAUUAGCCCAGGGAAAUCCUUCAA
Molecule: long non-coding RNA, 564 nt
Organism: Homo sapiens (human)
Lineage: Eukaryota; Metazoa; Chordata; Mammalia; Primates; Hominidae
Source: Ensembl